Molecule: long non-coding RNA, 450 nt
Organism: Misgurnus anguillicaudatus (oriental weatherfish)
Lineage: Eukaryota; Metazoa; Chordata; Actinopteri; Cypriniformes; Cobitidae
Source: RefSeq, a predicted model, not a curated record
UCUGGGGUUUGGCUUUAUUUUAAGUUUUGCUUCUUGUGAAAGAUCCACCCAAACCAGAGAGUUUUAAGUUUCAACACAAACAGAAAAGGUCUCAUUUCAAAAGCAUCCUGGUUUUGGUCAGUUUGAAAAGAUGAAUCCUGCUGAUCUAGAAGAUGCUGGUUUCACUACAGAAGGAAUAACUAAGGGUUCUAAGGCUGCCGAUAUGAUGUCAGCUGAAGCUAUUGCUAAUGGUGGAGGAGUCCCAGCUGGAUCUAUGGUAGCAGCUUCUCAAUCUGCAGGUGCAGCUCGAUCGACUGGUGCAGGUCAGGCCGCUAAGGGGGCCAACAAGGGCAAGCAUGGCUAGCAACAACACUGGAUAACUGAGGAUCUGAUCUUUGUGUAUUAUCAGAUCUGAGCUUUGUUGUCUGUUAAUCACAUGAAAUGAAUAAAAUGCACAUUAUUCAACACUAA